This 402-nucleotide ribosomal RNA is filed under the name uncultured bacterium. Its description in RNAcentral is "bacterial SSU rRNA". It matches the Rfam family "Bacterial small subunit ribosomal RNA", at positions 362 to 755 of the family's 1533-position model. The record is from RNAcentral.
UAUUGGACAAUGGGGGAAACCCUGAUCCAGCAAUGCCGCGUGUGUGAAGAAGGCCUGAGGGUUGUAAAGCACUUUAGGUGGGGAGGAUGGUAGAGCAGGUUAAGAGCUAGUUUUAUUGACGUUACCCGCAGAAUAAGCACCGGCUAACUCCGUGCCAGCAGCCGCGGUAAUACGGAGGGUGCAAGCGUUAAUCGGAAUUACUGGGCGUAAAGAGUGCGUAGGCGGUUGAGUAAGUUAUCUGUGAAAUCCCUGGGCUUAACCUAGGUGGGAAAGAUAAAACUGCUUGACUAGAGUGUGGUAGAGGAUAGUGGAAUUUCCGGUGUAGCGGUGAAAUGCGUAGAGAUCGGAAGGAACACCAGUGGCGAAGGCGGCUAUCUGGACCAACACUGACGCUGAGGCACG